UAAGUGGAAGAUUACUCUAAGAUGCACAUUCGACUACUUCUGGCACUCACGCAUGUUCAGUUCUUUUUAAUAGGCAUAUACGCCGAUCCCCGGGGAUACCAAUAUUACAGGACUAAAGUGCCGUCUUACAAAAUGCGCGGGCCAUAUCAGGAACCAGUGGCACCAGCGGACUAUUGCAGAAAGGGACUCUGCCCGAAAGGUGUUCGUCACAUUUCCUGUAACAAUACGUUUUAGGGCGAAAUCUGUCCCACAUCACCCAAUGGUAUUAACAUGGAAAAUUACAUUACUAACAUUUUGGAAUCUCAUAAUGGUGUACGGAAAAUAAUCGAACAGACCGUGGAUGAUUUGCCAAAAGCCAAAAAAUUGCCCCCACUCCGCUGGGAUGAAGAACUCUCCGUAGUGGCAAUGCGCGUCACAAAUUUUUGUAACUAUAUUGUGGCCCACAAUUGCGUUAACGUCCCACGUUUCUUAAAUGUCGCUCGCAACUCAGGUGACUUAACAAUUUAUUCAUACAGUACUGCAUACAUAAUUCGCUUUAUAUUUCAAAAUUGGCUAAUGGGUUAUCAAUAUUUUAAAGCUUCAUAUGUACAUGAAUUUCCAGUGAAUGCUACAGAAGAAACUGAGUCUUUAGCAAAUAUUAUAAAUCAGAGGGUUGACAAAGUGGGUUGCGGCUUGUUGAUAGAUGUACAAACGCCACCUGUAGCUUAUUUUACCUGUUUGUAUAAUGAAAAAAUCAGGCCUGGAAAGCAAUUGUAUGAAACAAAUCCAUAAAAUCCGACUUUAAAUCUAUGUCAAAUAUAUAUAAUAAACUUAUUAUAAAAUAAAUAUAUAUAAUAAA
Drosophila novamexicana is the source of this 838-nucleotide long non-coding RNA. RefSeq lists it as uncharacterized. The transcript is spliced from 2 exons. Lineage: Eukaryota; Metazoa; Arthropoda; Insecta; Diptera; Drosophilidae. The record is from RefSeq and is a predicted model, not a curated record.